RNAcentral lists this non-coding RNA (138 nucleotides) under Streptomyces sp. NRRL F-4489. RNAcentral describes it as "Streptomyces RNA 5676". It matches the Rfam family "Streptomyces RNA 5676". Rfam says of the family: Identified by deep sequencing of transcriptome at the end of exponential growth phase. Appears longer on northern blot than sequencing transcript. The record is from Rfam by way of RNAcentral. Lineage: Bacteria; Bacillati; Actinomycetota; Actinomycetes; Kitasatosporales; Streptomycetaceae.
AGAUGAGAGAAACACCCGCCCGCAGGGGACUGCGGACGGCGCCCGGUCGGCGCCUGCCCGGCUUCGACCUGGCCGUGCCUCGCGCACACCCACCGGGGACCCUGGCACUGGACACCCCGGGACGCCUCACCGAUCGGC